This 775-nucleotide ribosomal RNA is filed under the name uncultured Neocallimastigales. RNAcentral's name for it is "partial large subunit ribosomal RNA". It matches the Rfam family "Eukaryotic large subunit ribosomal RNA", at positions 24 to 640 of the family's 3401-position model. The record is from RNAcentral. Lineage: Eukaryota; Fungi; Neocallimastigomycota; Neocallimastigomycetes; Neocallimastigales.
UAUGUGAUCGUCUCUCGCAUAUCAAUAAGCGGAGGAAAAGAAACUAACAAGGAUUCCCCUAGUAACGGCGAGUGAAGCGGGAAGAGCUCAAAUUUGAAAUCCUAAAGGGUUUCCCUUUACGAAUUGUAGUUUAAAGAAGUGUUUUCUGUUGAGGUUUUGGUAAAAGUUCUUUGGAAUAGGACAUCAUAGAGGGUGAGAAUCCCGUAUUUGACCUUUACUUUCAACUUUGUGAUACACUUUCAAAGAGUCGGAUUGUUUGGGAAUGCAGUCCAAAAUGGGUGGUAAAUUUCAUCUAAAGCUAAAUAUUGGCGAGAGACCGAUAGCGAACAAGUACCGUGAGGGAAAGAUGAAAAGAACUUUGAAAAGAGAGUUAAACAGUACGUGAAAUUGUCAAAAGGGAAGCGUUUGACACCAGUGUUGUUUUUCUGAAAAUCAAUUAAAGAACUGUUUAUGCUAAGCUGUUUAGACUUUAUCAGCUAAUCUGCUUAGUUUUGAGCUUUUCUUUAAUGCACUUUUCAGUUAACAAGUCAACAUCAAUUUCUUUUGCUGUAAAAAAGCUUGAGGAAGGUGGCUUGAGAUUCGUCUUAAGUGUUUAUAGCCUCUUGCCUAUGCAGUCGGAGAGAUUGAGGUCUGCAGCGUAGAUCCUUCGGGGCUAAAUGCAUUUGUGCUAAGUUAUAGCAUUUUAUAGACAACUUGUUGACUAUGAUUUGUCUUGUAGCUUACUCGCUUAUGUUAUUUUACCUACGCUUAGGAUGUUGAUAUGCAUGACUGAUAU